CCUACGGGAGGCAGCAGUGGGGAAUUUUGGACAAUGGGGGCAACCCUGAUCCAGCAAUGCCGCGUGUGUGAAGAAGGCCUUCGGGUUGUAAAGCUCUUUCGGCGGGGACGAUGAUGACGGUACCCGCAGAAGAAGCCCCGGCUAACUUCGUGCCAGCAGCCGCGGUAAU
Molecule: ribosomal RNA, 169 nt
Filed under: uncultured bacterium
Lineage: Bacteria
Description: partial 16S ribosomal RNA
Rfam family: Bacterial small subunit ribosomal RNA
Source: RNAcentral